Molecule: ribosomal RNA, 574 nt
Filed under: Pseudomonas sp.
Lineage: Bacteria; Pseudomonadati; Pseudomonadota; Gammaproteobacteria; Pseudomonadales; Pseudomonadaceae
Description: bacterial SSU rRNA
Rfam family: Bacterial small subunit ribosomal RNA
Source: RNAcentral
UCGCAGCGGUACAGAGAAGCUUGCCUUCUCUUGAGAGCGGCGGACGGGUGAGCUAAAGCCUAGGAAAUCUGCCUGGUAGCUGGGGGAUAACGAUUCGGAAACGGACGCUAAUACCGCAUACGUCCUACGGGAGAAAGCAGGGGACCUUCGGGCCUUGCGCUAUCAGAUGAGCCUAGGUCGGAUUAGCUAGUUGGUGAGGUAAUGGCUCACCAAGGCGACGAUCCGUAACUGGUCUGAGAGGAUGAUCAGUCACACUGGAACUGAGACACGGUCCAGACUCCUACGGGAGGCAGCAGUGGGGAAUAUUGGACAAUGGGCGAAAGCCUGAUCCAGCCAUGCCGCGUGUGUGAAGAAGGUCUUCGGAUUGUAAAGCACUUUAAGUUGGGAGGAAGGGCAUUAACCUAAUACGUUAGUGUUUUGACGUUACCGACAGAAUAAGCACCGGCUAACUCUGUGCCAGCAGCCGCGGUAAUACAGAGGGUGCAAGCGUUAAUCGGAAUUACUGGGCGUAAAGCGCGCGUAGGUGGUUUGUUAAGUUGGAUGUGAAAUCCCCGGGCUCAACCUGGGAACUGCA